RNAcentral lists this long non-coding RNA (1196 nucleotides) under Equus asinus (donkey). Its description in RNAcentral is "lncRNA (ENSEASG00005036159.1)". The record is from RNAcentral. Lineage: Eukaryota; Metazoa; Chordata; Mammalia; Perissodactyla; Equidae.
UGGUCCUUUAGAAAUUGGAUUGAAAAGAAGCAUCACCAUAAUCUAAUUCUGAACUCUUCAUCUUUUAUUUUAUAAAAUCAAGCUGGUAGCUUGGGAAGAAAAACGAGUGGUUGCCCUUUUUCUUCCACCGGAUUGAUUUACUAACCCCAUUUACUGUAAUCAAACUUGAGAAUACCAGUCUUUUCUUUUAGGGACAUUAUGAUCAGGUGACAACUGAAUUUGGAGUCUUUCCUCAAAGGAAAUCAGGAGAAAAGUUAAUAAAGAAAAGAUUAUUUUCGGCUAAUCACAGUAGAGAAGAAAGAAAUUACCACUAGGAUGUAUCCUGAACAAGCUAAAAUUAAUUCACACUGCUUAACACCACGUCUUUUGUAGCUUUUUUCCCCACUGCUCAGGAAACACCCCACUGAUGCAGAGGUCUGAAAGCUGGUAGUUUUCAUUAUCUAAAAGACAACCAAGAACCAAUAAGCAAGCAAAAAAGGCAUUUGACAGAACGUAACAAGUGUUGGCGAGGAUGUGGAGAAAUUGGAACCUUUGUGCGCUGUUGGUGGGAAUAUAAAACGGUGCUACUGCUAUGGAAAACAGUAUGGAAGUUCCUCAAAAAAUUAAGAAUACAAUUACUACGUGUUCCAGCAAUCCAGUAUAUACUCAAAAGAAUUGAAAGCAAGGAGUGAAAGAGAUAUUUUUACACCCAUGUUCAUAGCAGCAUUAUUCACAAAAGCCAAAACGUGGGAGCAACCCACAUGUCUAUCAACAGAUGAAUGGAUGGACACAUUGUGGUAGACACGUACAAAGGAAUAUUAUUUAGCCUUAAAAAGGAAAGAAAUUCUGACACAUGCUUCAACAUGCAUGAACCUAGAGGAUAUUAUGUUUAGUGACAUAAGCCAGUCACAAAGGGCCAAAUACUGUAUGAUUCCACUUAUAUGAGGUACCUAGAGUAGACAAAUUCAUAGAGACAGAAAAAUAGAACAGGUGGUUGCCAAGGGCUGGAAGGAAGGGGAAAAGGGGAGUUACUGUUUAAUGGGUACAGAGUUUCAGUUUGGGAAGGUGAAAAGAGUUCUGGAGAUGGAUGGUGGUGAUGGUUGCACAACACUGUGAAUGUACUUAAUGCCACUGAACUGUACAGUGAAAAUUGAUUAAGAUGGUAAAUUUCAUGUUAUGUGUGUUUCACCACAACUAAAAAGAAUAAUUAAAAAAAC